Molecule: long non-coding RNA, 441 nt
Organism: Nerophis ophidion (straightnose pipefish)
Lineage: Eukaryota; Metazoa; Chordata; Actinopteri; Syngnathiformes; Syngnathidae
Exons: 3
Source: RefSeq, a predicted model, not a curated record
GUCAUCUGUGCUCACUGAUGGCUGAGAUCUGGUCUGAACGAGGAGCCUGAAAUCGCUCCCCGGAGCUUUCACGGAGGCCACGCUCGGCCCCAUAUUGGAGCCAUUUCCUGUCUCAGGAGUGGGCAAAGGGUCUGCAGGAAGUCUUGAACAAUGGGACCCCUCCUGAGGUUCUGCAAGCCGGCUACGCCAGUAAGAAGUUGGAUUAAACGCAAAACUCAAGACGAAAAAGACGGCGCUGUUGUGACAUUACUGCUUGGUUUGAGAAAACAUAAGACAAGCAAGGAUAAAGUUUUAUUUUAUUUAUUUAUUUUUUGUUUUCUAAUGAUGGCAUGUGGACAAUAGCACUGACAAGUGACAUGCAGUGAUAUAAACGCUGGUAAAUGCAAAUUAUUUUGAUGCUGCAUUGUGCUCUACACAAGGUUAGGCACGGUACCUGUAUGU